UUGUGUUACGUUUACAUCGCACAAAUUAUUUGGCUGUACAAAAUUUUCCGUUGAACCUUUAUUUUAUUUUAUUCGGUUUAAAUAAAUUCUCAAUGUCCUGCAGGCCCGUUUCGUGUAAAAUGGAGUCAAAAAAAUCAAGAACGAAACCGCAUUCGGGGGUUUACAUAGUUAAGAGUCGUGAGCUCAGGGGAGGGAUAUUGUACACGGACUGCCAUUGUCUGAGGAGGAAUGGAUUGCAGUACGAUUGUCGGCGGACAUGCUGCCAGAAUUCCAGCUGCUGCGAGGUGCUACCGGCGCCGCUGUGUGUCCCCGCCAACGUGGCCUGCGCAAAGCACUGCCUGAACCCUCAUGCAGAAGCACUGACUGCUAUCUGCAGAAUGCGUACCUGUUAACUGCAAAAUAAUGUAAUGUCAAGAAAAAGUGCAAAACUCAAAAAUGUUCCACCAACACUCGAAUGAUAAUGAAUAGCUUGCUUCUAGCAGGAAUACUGGCAUGACUAUUUCAAAUUCGGAACCCGAAAAAAAUUAAACCUGAUCAAAUAUGUUUAAUUGACAGAAUACCAAAUUUCUUUGAAACCCUUUGGACGUAUUUGUAAAAAUUGUAAAAAAAUAUUAAAAUUCUAAAUUAUUUGUGAAAAAAUUAAUAUUAUUUAGACUGUCUUUUAAAAUUCCUAAAUUUUAGUUAAAUUGUAUUAUCUAAAAGCCCCUCCUUCGCACAUUUCAUCAAAUUAACGCAUUUAUUCAAAUACAAAAAUGUGUUCCCCGUGUGGUCCCAUGGUAUGCUACAAAUAUGAAGAUUGCGGUCCCGCAUUGCAAUGUCUCCCGAGAUCCGCGUUCAAGCGGAAUGGUCUGCAAGAUUGCCAGUUCUUUCAGCAGGGAUCCAUCCGGUACUUGUGCCGGGCGGGUCCAUGCUGCUCUAGGCCGUGCCCGCCGUGCUGUCCGCCGUGCGUCCGCAGGCCACCUCCCGGGAAGACCUAUGUGACGCGCUUCAGUGACUUUGAUCUGAUUUCACAGUGGUAGCAAGAUUGAUGCCGUCCUUCCGAACACUCGAAAGGCAAAGGCCAAGAAGGUCAAGCUUCGCGUGCGGAGGAAGGCGGCGCA
RNAcentral lists this unclassified non-coding RNA (1100 nucleotides) under Leguminivora glycinivorella. RNAcentral's name for it is "uncharacterized LOC125225676, transcript variant X1". The record is from RNAcentral. Lineage: Eukaryota; Metazoa; Arthropoda; Insecta; Lepidoptera; Tortricidae.